CAUCGGUUAGUUUAUAAAAACAGUUAUUUUGGGUAUAACAAAUAUAGAUCUUUUUCUAUACCUUUGA
This 67-nucleotide transfer RNA is filed under the name Protelpidia murrayi. Its description in RNAcentral is "tRNA-Pro". RNAcentral also lists the same sequence under 4 other names. Lineage: Eukaryota; Metazoa; Echinodermata; Holothuroidea; Elasipodida; Elpidiidae. The record is from RNAcentral.